CACUCAACACCCCAGAAACCGUGGCAACCAUGAAUCACCUCACCCUCCUUUUCUGGACAGUGGUCUGUGGAUCCUUAACAGGAACCAGCAGUCAGGUGACUGUGACUCAGAAACCAGUAGUGUCCUUUACUCCAGGAUCCACAGUCACUCUGACCUGUAAAACAAACCCAGCGGUUUAUAGACAUUCUUCUUUAGGUGAUUAUCUAUUCUGGUACCAACAGAAACCUGGAGAAGCCCCCAAGCUCAUCAUGAAAUAUGCAAACAAACUUGUAUCACCAACACCGGCUCGGUUUAGUGGCAGUGGAAGCAGCACUGACUUCUCUCUGACCAUCAGCGGUGCCCAGCGUGAAGAUGCAGCAGUUUAUCACUGUCAGAGUUUCCACUCCCUAAACAGUGUCAGAGUGUUCACACAGCACCGUGGAGGCACCAAACUCAUUGUUGACUUGGGAGUGGUGCAGCCCACGCUGAGCGUCCUCCCUCCCUCCAGAGUGGAGCUGGAGCAGGGCAGUGCUACACUAGUGUGUGUGGCCAGUGGGGGCUUCCCCUCAGACUGGAAGCUUGGCUGGAAGGUGGGGAGCAGCAGCAGGUCUGGGGGGGUGUCAGAUAGCCUGGGGGUCCUGGGGAAAGAUGGCCACUACAGCUGGAUCAGCACCUUGACCCUCCCUGCAGACCAGUGGAGGAAGGCGGGCUCAGUGAGCUGUGAGGCCAGUAAGAAUGGCCAGACGCAGCCUGUCACUCAAACCCUGAAUCCUGGAGAGUGUUCAGAGUAG
Molecule: non-coding RNA, 770 nt
Organism: Gadus morhua (Atlantic cod)
Lineage: Eukaryota; Metazoa; Chordata; Actinopteri; Gadiformes; Gadidae
Source: the annotation of a RefSeq genome assembly